Molecule: ribosomal RNA, 465 nt
Filed under: uncultured bacterium
Lineage: Bacteria
Description: partial 16S ribosomal RNA
Rfam family: Bacterial small subunit ribosomal RNA
Source: RNAcentral
GACGAACGCUGGCGGCGUGCUUAACACAUGCAAGUCGAACGGAAAGGCCCUGCUUGCAGGGUACUCGAGUGGCGAACGGGUGAGUAACACGUGGGUGAUCUGCCCUGCACUUCGGGAUAAGCCUGGGAAACUGGGUCUAAUACCGGAUAGGAGCCAUUUUUAGUGUGAUGGUUGGAAAGUUUUUUCGGUGUAGGAUGAGCUCGCGGCCUAUCAGCUUGUUGGUGGGGUAAUGGCCUACCAAGGCGGCGACGCGUAGCCGGCCUGAGAGGGUGGACGGCCACAUUGGGACUGAGAUACGGCCCAGACUCCUACGGGAGGCAGCAGUGGGGAAUAGUGCACAAUGGGCGCAAGCCUGAUGCAGCGACGCCGCGUGGGGGAUGACGGCCUUCGGGUUGUAAACUCCUUUCGCUAGGGACGAAGCUUUUUGUGACGGUACCUAGAGAAGAAGCACCGGCUAACUACGUG